GCGGUCGUGGCGGAAUGGCAGACGCGCUAGGUUGAGGGCCUAGUGGGGGCAACCCCGUGGAAGUUCGACUCUUCUCGACCGCA
Molecule: transfer RNA, 83 nt
Filed under: Evansella caseinilytica
Lineage: Bacteria; Bacillati; Bacillota; Bacilli; Caryophanales; Bacillaceae
Rfam family: tRNA
About the family: Transfer RNA (tRNA) molecules are approximately 80 nucleotides in length. Their secondary structure includes four short double-helical elements and three loops (D, anti-codon, and T loops).
Source: Rfam by way of RNAcentral